GAUAAACGCUGGCGGCGUGCCUAAUACAUGCAAGUCGAGCGAACGGACGAGAAGCUUGCUUCUCUGAUGUUAGCGGCGGACGGGUGAGUAACACGUGGAUAACCUACCUAUAAGACUGGGAUAACUUCGGGAAACCGGAGCUAAUACCGGAUAAUAUUUUGAACCGCAUGGUUCAAAAGUGAAAGACGGUCUUGCUGUCACUUAUAGAUGGAUCCGCGCUGCAUUAGCUAGUUGGUAAGGUAACGGCUUACCAAGGCAACGAUGCAUAGCCGACCUGAGAGGGUGAUCGGCCACACUGGAACUGAGACACGGUCCAGACUCCUACGGGAGGCAGCAGUAGGGAAUCUUCCGCAAUGGGCGAAAGCCUGACGGAGCAACGCCGCGUGAGUGAUGAAGGUCUUCGGAUCGUAAAACUCUGUUAUUAGGGAAGAACAUAUGUGUAAGUAACUGUGCACAUCUUGACGGUACCUAAUCAGAAAGCCACGGCUAACUACGUGCCAGCAGCCGCGGUAAUACGUAGGUGGCAAGCGUUAUCCGGAAUUAUUGGGCGUAAAGCGCGCGUAGGCGGUUUUUUAAGUCUGAUGUGAAAGCCCACGGCUCAACCGUGGAGGGUCAUUGGAAACUGGAAAACUUGAGUGCAGAAGAGGAAAGUGGAAUUCCAUGUGUAGCGGUGAAAUGCGCAGAGAUAUGGAGGAACACCAGUGGCGAAGGCGACUUUCUGGUCUGUAACUGACGCUGAUGUGCGAAAGCGUGGGGAUCAAACAGGAUUAGAUACCCUGGUAGUCCACGCCGUAAACGAUGAGUGCUAAGUGUUAGGGGGUUUCCGCCCCUUAGUGCUGCAGCUAACGCAUUAAGCACUCCGCCUGGGGAGUACGACCGCAAGGUUGAAACUCAAAGGAAUUGACGGGGACCCGCACAAGCGGUGGAGCAUGUGGUUUAAUUCGAAGCAACGCGAAGAACCUUACCAAAUCUUGACAUCCUUUGACAACUCUAGAGAUAGAGCCUUCCCCUUCGGGGGACAAAGUGACAGGUGGUGCAUGGUUGUCGUCAGCUCGUGUCGUGAGAUGUUGGGUUAAGUCCCGCAACGAGCGCAACCCUUAAGCUUAGUUGCCAUCAUUAAGUUGGGCACUCUAAGUUGACUGCCGGUGACAAACCGGAGGAAGGUGGGGAUGACGUCAAAUCAUCAUGCCCCUUAUGAUUUGGGCUACACACGUGCUACAAUGGACAAUACAAAGGGCAGCGAAACCGCGAGGUCAAGCAAAUCCCAUAAAGUUGUUCUCAGUUCGGAUUGUAGUCUGCAACUCGACUACAUGAAGCUGGAAUCGCUAGUAAUCGUAGAUCAGCAUGCUACGGUGAAUACGUUCCCGGGUCU
RNAcentral lists this ribosomal RNA (1372 nucleotides) under uncultured bacterium. RNAcentral's name for it is "bacterial SSU rRNA". It matches the Rfam family "Bacterial small subunit ribosomal RNA", at positions 28 to 1381 of the family's 1533-position model. The record is from RNAcentral.